CCAUACCCUGCUUCCAGGAAAAGCCACUAAGCUUCAGCUAUUGACGACCGUACCGCAAACCGACACUGGUGCGCGAGAUGAGUAUUCUAAGGCGCUUGAGAGAACUCAGGAGAAGGAACUCGGCAAAUUGACACCGUAACUUCGGGAGAAGGUGUGCCCUCAGUAGGUGAACCUGUACAAGGGGAGCCCAAAGGGGUUGCAAAGAAUCGGUGGCUGCGACUGUUUAUUAAAAACACAGCACUCUGCAAACACGAAAGUGGACGUAUAGGGUGUGACGCCUGCCCGGUGCUGGAAGAUUAAAUGAUGGGGUGCAAGCUCUUGAUUGAAGUCCCAGUAAACGGCGGCCGUAACGAUAACGGUCCUAAGGUAGCGAAAUUCCUUGUCGGGUAAGUUCCGACCUGCACGAAUGGCGUAACGAUGGCCACACUGUCUCCUCCUGAGACUCAGCGAAGUUGAAAUGUUUGUGAUGAUGCAAUCUCCCCGCGGAAAGACGGAAAGACCCCAUGAACCUUUACUGUAGCUUUGUAUUGGACUUUGAACGGAUCUGUGUAGGAUAGGUGGGAGGCUUUGAAGCGGUGUCGCUAGACAUCGUGGAGCCAACGUUGAAAUACCACCCUGGUGCGUUUGAGGUUCUAACCUGGAUCCCUUAUCGGGAUUGGGGACAGUGCAUGGUAGGCAGUUUGACUGGGCGGUCUCCUCCCAAAGCGUAACGGAGGAGUUCGAAGGUACGCUAGUUACGGUCGGACAUCGUGACGAUAGUGCAAUGCAUAAGCGUGCUUAACUGCGAGACUGACAAGUCGAGCAGAUGCGAAAGCAGGACAUAGUGAUCCGGUGGUUCUGUAUGGAAGGGCCAUCGCUCAACGGAUAAAAGGUACUCUGGGGAUAACAGGCUGAUACCGCCCAAGAGUUCAUAUCGACGGCGGUGUUUGGCACCUCGAUGUCGGCUCAUCUCAUCCUGGGGCUGUAGCCGGUCCCAAGGGUAUGGCUGUUCGCCAUUUAAAGAGGUACGUGAGCUGGGUUUAAAACGUCGUGAGACAGUUUGGUCCCUAUCUUCCGUGGGCGCUGCAGAUUUGAGGAAGCCUGCUCCUAGUACGAGAGGACCGGAGUGGACACACCUCUGGUGUACCGGUUGUCACGCCAGUGGCAUCGCCGGGUAGCUAUGUGUGGAAGAGAUAACCGCUGAAAGCAUCUAAGCGGGAAACUCGUUUCAAGAUGAGAUCUGCCGGGGCCUUGAGCCCCCUAAAGAGUCGUUCAAGACCAGGACGUUGAUAGGCUGGGUGUGGAAGCGCAGUAAUGCGUUAAGCUAACCAGUACUAAUUGCUCGUGCGGCUUGACCCU
RNAcentral lists this ribosomal RNA (1338 nucleotides) under metagenome. RNAcentral's name for it is "bacterial LSU rRNA". It matches the Rfam family "Bacterial large subunit ribosomal RNA", at positions 1595 to 2925 of the family's 2925-position model. The record is from RNAcentral.